GGCCAGACUCCUACGGGAGGCAGCAGUGAGGAAUAUUGGUCAAUGGACGCAAGUCUGAACCAGCCAAGUAGCGUGCAGGAUGACGGCCCUCCGGGUUGUAAACUGCUUUUAGUUGGGAAUAAAAGGGGGCUCGUGAGCCCCGUAUUGUAUGUACCAUCAGAAAAAGGACUGGCUAAUUCCGUGCCAGCAGCCGCGGUAAUACGGAAGGUCCGGGCGUUAUCCGGAUUUAUUGGGUUUAAAGGGUGCGUAGGCGGGCUGUUAAGUCAGCGGUCAAAUGUCGGGGCUCAACCCCGGCCUGCCGUUGAAACUGGCGGCCUCGAGUGGGCGAGAAGUAUGCGGAAUGCGUGGUGUAGCGGUGAAAUGCAUAGAUAUCACGCAGAACUCCGAUUGCGAAGGCAGCAUACCGGCGCCCUACUGACGCUGAGGCACGAAAGCGUGGGUAUCGAACAGGAUUAGAUACCCUUGUAC
This 468-nucleotide ribosomal RNA is filed under the name uncultured bacterium. Its description in RNAcentral is "bacterial SSU rRNA". It matches the Rfam family "Bacterial small subunit ribosomal RNA", at positions 329 to 793 of the family's 1533-position model. The record is from RNAcentral.